GAGUUUGAUCUUGGCUCAGAUUGAACGCUGGCGGCAUGCCUUACACAUGCAAGUCGAGCGGCAGCGCGGGGGCAACCCUGGCGGCGAGCGGCGGACGGCAGAGUAACACGUAGGAACGUACCCCAAAGUGAGGGAUAGCCCGCCGAAAGGCGGAUUAAUACCGCAUGUGAUCCACGGAUUAAAGCCUUGUGCGCUUUGGGAACGGCCUGCGUAAAGAUUAGGCUUGUUGGUAAGGUAACGGCUUACCAAGGCGACGAUCUUUAGCUGGUCUGAGAGGAUGAUCAGCCUGACUGGAACUGAGACACGGUCCAGACUCCUACGGGAGGCAGCAGUAGGGAAUUUUCCACAAUGGGGG
Molecule: ribosomal RNA, 355 nt
Filed under: uncultured bacterium
Lineage: Bacteria
Description: bacterial SSU rRNA
Rfam family: Bacterial small subunit ribosomal RNA
Source: RNAcentral